Molecule: unclassified non-coding RNA, 253 nt
Filed under: Hevea brasiliensis (rubber tree)
Lineage: Eukaryota; Viridiplantae; Streptophyta; Magnoliopsida; Malpighiales; Euphorbiaceae
Source: RNAcentral
AUUUUGUUACUCUUUAAAAAAAUAUUGAUUCAUUACAUUUAUUUGUGAAUUCAGAUUUAAUCGUAAAUGAGUCGUGAUUGCUUAGCAUAAGAAGAGCCAACUGUUUGUUGCACUUCUGAUCCAACUUAUAUGUUACUAGCAUAAGAAGAGCUGAAGUUCAUAAUUUAAUACACAGAUAGCUUUGAGAUUCUUUUCUCGCUAUCUUUUCUCUAGUCUUCUAUUUCCUGUCAACUACCUUUUUUUUUUAAAAAAA